RNAcentral lists this long non-coding RNA (263 nucleotides) under Lathyrus oleraceus (garden pea). RNAcentral describes it as "Pisum sativum (pea) long non-coding RNA (PSAT_LNC007170)". Lineage: Eukaryota; Viridiplantae; Streptophyta; Magnoliopsida; Fabales; Fabaceae. The record is from RNAcentral.
UUUUUUUUUGAAUGCCCCAGUUGGCUGUUCUGCUGAUUCUCGAGAUGCAGCUGAGUGAUCUUCUUCUCUUGCUCAAGAAGUCGGGAAAUCUCGUCAGGAAUCCCUUCAACAUCAUCUUCGUCCACUUCGAAUACAGGGAAUUCAAAAUUGGGAGAUGACGUCCGAUCACCAUGUUCAAUGGGUUUGAGAAACAACCUGCAUAAUGAUUUGAUAUGAAAAGCUCUUUGAAAAUCAAACAAGACAAUCGUUAUGCAGAUGAAAAG